This 490-nucleotide ribosomal RNA is filed under the name uncultured bacterium. RNAcentral describes it as "partial 16S ribosomal RNA". It matches the Rfam family "Bacterial small subunit ribosomal RNA", at positions 30 to 507 of the family's 1533-position model. The record is from RNAcentral.
AUUGAACGCUGGCGGCAGGCCUAACACAUGCAAGUCGAACGGUAACAGGAAGCAGCUUGCUGCUUUGCUGACGAGUGGCGGACGGGUGAGUAAUGUCUGGGAAACUGCCUGAUGGAGGGGGAUAACUACUGGAAACGGUAGCUAAUACCGCAUAACGUCGCAAGACCAAAGAGGGGGACCUUCGGGCGUCUUGCCAUCGGAUGUGCCCAGAUGGGAUUAGCUAGUAGGUGGGGUAACGGCUCACCUAGGGGACGAUCCCUAGCUGGUCUGAGAGGAUGACCAGCCACCCUGGAACUGAGACAGGGUCCAGACUCCUACGGGAGGCAGCAGUGGGGAAUAUUGCACAAUGGGCGCAAGCCUGAUGCAGCCAGGCCGCGUGUAUGAAGAAGGCCUUCGGGUUGUAAAGUACUUUCAGCGGGGAGGAAGGGAGUAAAGUUAAUACCUUUGCUCAUUGACGUUACCCGCAGAAGAAGCACCGGCUAACUCCGUG